Molecule: ribosomal RNA, 684 nt
Filed under: uncultured bacterium
Lineage: Bacteria
Description: bacterial SSU rRNA
Rfam family: Bacterial small subunit ribosomal RNA
Source: RNAcentral
GUCGAACGCUCAUUCCUCACCGAACUUCGGUUCACCGAGAAAUGGGAGUGGCGAACGGGUGAGUAACACGUGGGUAACCUACCCAUCAGCGGGGGAUAACACUUGGAAACAGGUGCUAAUACCGCAUAAUUCUUUUCUUCGCCUGGAGGAAAGAUGAAAGACGCUUUUGCGUCACUGAUGGAUGGACCCGCGCUGCAUUAGCUAGUUGGUGGGGUAAUAGCUCACCAAGGCCACGAUGCAUAGCCGACCUGAGAGGGUGAUCGGCCACACUGGGACUGAGACACGGCCCAGACUCCUACGGGAGGCAGCAGUAGGGAAUCUUCGGCAAUGGACGGAAGUCUGACCGAGCAACGCCGCGUGAGUGAAGAAGGUUUUCGGAUCGUAAAACUCUGUUGUUAGAGAAGAACAAGGAUGAGAGUAGAAUGUUCAUCCCUUGACGGUAUCUAACCAGAAAGCCACGGCUAACUACGUGCCAGCAGCCGCGGUAAUACGUAGGUGGCAAGCGUUGUCCGGAUUUAUUGGGCGUAAAGCGAGCGCAGGCGGUUUCUUAAGUCUGAUGUGUAAGCCCCCGGCUUAACCGGGGAGGGUCAUUGGAAACUGGGAGACUUGAGUGCAGAAGAGGAGAGUGGAAUUCCAUGUGUAGCGGUGAAAUGCGUAGAUAUAUGGAGGAACACCAGUGGCGAA